GGUUGUGGCUCAGUGGCAGGGUGCUUGCCUAGCAUGUGUGAGGCCCUGGGUUCCAUUCUCAGCACCA
Molecule: transfer RNA, 67 nt
Filed under: Marmota monax (woodchuck)
Lineage: Eukaryota; Metazoa; Chordata; Mammalia; Rodentia; Sciuridae
Description: tRNA.Ala
Source: RNAcentral